Trifolium pratense (red clover) is the source of this 154-nucleotide small nucleolar RNA. RefSeq annotates it as small nucleolar RNA snoR2/U65. Lineage: Eukaryota; Viridiplantae; Streptophyta; Magnoliopsida; Fabales; Fabaceae. The transcript has a single exon. The record is from RefSeq and is a predicted model, not a curated record.
UGUCUGAUGCCACGUCUUUGGUAGUUACAUGCUCUAACCAAAGAUGCUAAUUGGACCAAAAUCAAUAGUGAUUUUUAUUUGUUUCGCAUUUUGAUAGGAAUCUGCUUAUCUUAUUUACUGUGAUUUUGCAUAGCCAAUUUGUGUGAUUACAUUU